This 723-nucleotide long non-coding RNA is filed under the name Brassica napus (rape). RNAcentral's name for it is "long non-coding RNA (BNAP_LNC020867)". Lineage: Eukaryota; Viridiplantae; Streptophyta; Magnoliopsida; Brassicales; Brassicaceae. The record is from RNAcentral.
AAAAAUAUCAUAAAGUGUGGGAAUGUAUUUAUUAGUACACAGAUUUCAGAAAUCUUAUGAGUAGUCAUGCUAUUUUCAAAGUCUAGCUUAUGAGUAAAAAUAUAAAGAAUUUAGUUCCCAAUAACCAUAGAAUUUAAUAGAAUAGCAAAAUCAAUAAAAACUAAAUUUUUUGAAUAACAAAUGAUUUGAAUAGAAAUUAAAAGUCUUUAAACCAAUAACAAUGGAUUUUGGAAAGACUUUUAAAUUCCAUAAACCAAUAACCAUGAAUUCUUAAAAUUUUAUAAUUCUUUAAAAAUUCUUAAACCAAUAACCCCCCCUAAAUAGUAUAUGUGAGAAUUUUCACUGCAAAACCAAAUGAUAUUGAAUAACUACCCCUUUUUUUUUAAUAAAUAUACCUCAUCUUUUAUAUACUAGUUUUCAAUAAUUUAUGUUUAGGAUGUGAGCAUUCUUGACCAUGCAUUCUUUUUUUGCACGAAUGUUAAAUUAUUCAGAUAAAUUUUUUUUUACAACUUGUGUAACCUCUUUCUCUAAAGUUGACAACUUUUUGGUUUAUUCAUCUCAACCCCAAAAACGCUCAAUUUUUUUUUGAUAAGUUUUAUCGGCUGAUUCAAUCGGUCCUGAAAGGAACGCACCUAGUGCUAUAGAGUGGACUAGUCCGAAAGCGUAUCACACUGUUUGACCCGAGUUUGAAAUAUCUUCCGACUUUAUUAGACCGAUCAUCUG